UAAGCGUUCGUUGACGUUGAUGGC
Molecule: non-coding RNA, 24 nt
Filed under: Drosophila melanogaster (fruit fly)
Lineage: Eukaryota; Metazoa; Arthropoda; Insecta; Diptera; Drosophilidae
Source: RNAcentral